RNAcentral lists this ribosomal RNA (1032 nucleotides) under Triticum aestivum (bread wheat). Its description in RNAcentral is "partial small subunit ribosomal RNA". Lineage: Eukaryota; Viridiplantae; Streptophyta; Magnoliopsida; Poales; Poaceae. The record is from RNAcentral.
AUGAGGUCAGGUGGAAGUGUGUUCUUAGAGAGUGCAUGCAUCUCUAAGAUGAAGGAAUUUAGCUCUAUACGGGAUGACGCACCAAGAUGGGUAUUAAACAGAGCUAUAACUUAUUUGGAACAUGAUAUGAUAUACAUUCCAGUUAACAUUGAACACUUCCAUUGGUACCUAGCAGUUAUAAAUGUCGGGCAGCGAUGCAUCCAGGUGCUCGACUCGCUAGGCCCAGGAAUGAGCCGCAAAGACCUCACCGCUAUGCUCAAAGGACUAGAAAAUGUAUUCGAAUAUGCAUCGCUUCAAGUGGAACUAAAAACUGAUAAGUGGAAAGACUUAAACAUCUCAUCAUGGCCAAGGGAAGAGUGUAUUAAGAGCAAACUACAAAAUUUUAGAACAAAACUAGCUGUCAUUUUAGUGGACUCGGAAUUGAAUGAUGAUAAUAUAAGAAAUCGAGACAUUGAAGAUGACGAAAACAACAUAGAUCCCACGGAAUGUAUGAUUCUGGAUAGACCUCCUGAGAAUUUCAAAACAUCAAAUACAUCAGGAGAAGUCAAGCUCAUCUCGCGGUCAUUUAUCCUUUCACCGUUUGUCAAUCCAACAAAUGAUGAUUUAAUAGAUGAACUUUGCUUGUUCAUCGAAAGUCAUCGUGAAAAUAUGGAAAUUGCUACAUUGAGACGGUUGUUUCAUAGCUGGCCUGACAGUAAUGAUUACCAUAUCUCACAAUGUGAUGAGAUUUUAUUGCCUUGGUGUAUGUUUGGGCUAUUUCUAUUGUUUGUGUUGGAUCAAAAUAAAAAGGUUGUCUCAAUUUUUGAUCCGUUACCAAUACCUACUUUGGGGAAUAACGUACUUCAAAUUGUGGCCGACAACCUAAACCUCGCGCUUGAAGUUGCAAACCCUGCAUUCAAGGAUGAUAUCUCUAAAUGGGAAUCCUUAGUUUCUGUUGCUCCAACAAACUCACACUGGUGUGAAUCUUUUAAACGCAUUACAAUAUUAAUUGAUUCAUUCAACACACAUUAUGUGUUUAUUUCAUACAUGUAG